This 523-nucleotide ribosomal RNA is filed under the name uncultured bacterium. RNAcentral describes it as "bacterial SSU rRNA". It matches the Rfam family "Bacterial small subunit ribosomal RNA", at positions 15 to 518 of the family's 1533-position model. The record is from RNAcentral.
GAUUAGUGGCUCAGGAUGAACGCUAGCUACAGGCUUAACACAUGCAAGUCGAGGGGCAGCAUGAUCGAAGCUUGCUUUGAUGAGUGGCCGACCGGCGCGACGGGUGAGUAACGCGUAUCCAACCUUCCCUGUAGUAGAGAAUAGCCCGGCGAAAGUCGGAUUAAUGCUCUAUGUUGUAUUUCGAUGACAUCUGAAGAAUACCAAAGGUUUACCGCUAUAGGAUGGGGAUGCGUCUGAUUAGGUUGUUGGCGGGUAACGGCCCACCAAGCCGACGAUCAGUAGGGGUUCUGAGAGGAAGGUCCCCCACAUUGGAACUGAGACACGGUCCAAACUCCUACGGGAGGCAGCAGUGAGGAAUAUUGGUCAAUGGACGGAAGUCUGAACCAGCCAAAAGUAGCGUGCAGGAUGACCGGCCCUAGUGGGUUAGUAAACUGUCUUUUAUAGUAGGGAUAAAGUCGGGGACGUGUCCCCGUUUGUAGGUACUAUAUGAAUAAGGACCGGCUAAUUCCGUGCCAGCCGCGGC